UCCGCCUUAGCUCAGCAGGCAGAGCAAGUGGCUGUUAACCACUGGGUCGCUGGUUCGAGUCCAGCAGGCGGAG
RNAcentral lists this transfer RNA (73 nucleotides) under Deltaproteobacteria bacterium. RNAcentral describes it as "tRNA-Asn". It matches the Rfam family "tRNA". Rfam says of the family: Transfer RNA (tRNA) molecules are approximately 80 nucleotides in length. Their secondary structure includes four short double-helical elements and three loops (D, anti-codon, and T loops). Lineage: Bacteria; Pseudomonadati; Myxococcota; Myxococcia. The record is from RNAcentral.